GACGAACGCUGGCGGCGUGCCUAAUACAUGCAAGUUGAGCGAUGAAGAUUGGUGCUUGCACCAAUUUGAAGAGCAGCGAACGGGUGAGUAACGCGUGGGGAAUCUGCCUUUGAGCGGGGGACAACAUUUGGAAACGAAUGCUAAUACCGCAUAACAACUUUAAACAUAAGUUUUAAGUUUGAAAGAUGCAAUUGCAUCACUCAAAGAUGAUCCCGCGUUGUAUUAGCUAGUUGGUGAGGUAAAGGCUCACCAAGGCGAUGAGACAUAGCCGACCUGAGAGGGUGAUCGGCCACAUUGGGACUGAGACACGGCCCAAACUCCUACGGGAGGCAGCAGUAGGGAAUCUUCGGCAAUGGACGAAAGUCUGACCGAGCAACGCCGCGUGAGUGAAGAAGGUUUUCGGAUCGUAAAACUCUGUUGGUAGAGAAGAACGUUGGUGAGAGUGGAAAGCUCAUCAAGUGACGGUAACUACCCAGAAAGGGACGGCUAACUACGUG
This 497-nucleotide ribosomal RNA is filed under the name uncultured bacterium. Its description in RNAcentral is "partial 16S ribosomal RNA". It matches the Rfam family "Bacterial small subunit ribosomal RNA", at positions 28 to 507 of the family's 1533-position model. The record is from RNAcentral.